RNAcentral lists this long non-coding RNA (199 nucleotides) under Sorghum bicolor (sorghum). RNAcentral describes it as "long non-coding RNA (SBIC_LNC002897)". The record is from RNAcentral. Lineage: Eukaryota; Viridiplantae; Streptophyta; Magnoliopsida; Poales; Poaceae.
GACGCACCUGUUGCUACUCCUAGGUGAAGAGACUCAAGUGGAAGCUUGGUUUGGUCUGUUUGGAGAUACUGCUAAUCUUGAUGCAAGAUAGGUGCACGGUUUGCAAGUAAUGUACUAUAUGCCCAAAAUCAAUUUGGACACGCCUGAUGGAACUACUAGAUGUUGUAUGUCAUAUGUAACCUUGCUUUGGUCCGUUUGG